UGUCACCAUGGCAGCCAGGCCUCCUUAGCUUGGAUUGGUUGCUGGACCACAUCACUGGUCCUAUGACUGACCCCAUGAUGGGGACUGGUUGCCAUGGUUCUAUCAAGUGUGCAAACAAGGAGCUACCAUCCUCCUUCAGGCUCAGGGGACAGGCCAACCAGCCCUGUGUCUAAUGGAAAAUCCCUGGAAGGAGAGAAGAUUAGAGAUGGGGACCAGAGUACCUUUGAGCCAUUCCCUAGUCUGAGUCACAAGUCACAACCUUGCAGCUGAUUGAGUCCUCAGGGGAAGCCUCUCAUCUCCCACACCUUCUUGAUGCUCUCAAGAAGGACCAUUUCAGGCUGACCCAAAGUUGGAUUAUUAAAGCUGAUUUUCA
Molecule: long non-coding RNA, 373 nt
Filed under: Vulpes vulpes (red fox)
Lineage: Eukaryota; Metazoa; Chordata; Mammalia; Carnivora; Canidae
Description: lncRNA (ENSVVUG00000025765.1)
Source: RNAcentral